Molecule: ribosomal RNA, 439 nt
Filed under: uncultured bacterium
Lineage: Bacteria
Description: partial 16S ribosomal RNA
Rfam family: Bacterial small subunit ribosomal RNA
Source: RNAcentral
CCUACGGGAGGCAGCAGUGGGGAAUAUUGCACAAUGGGCGAAAGCCUGAUGCAGCAACGCCGCGUGAGCGAUGAAGGCCUUCGGGUCGUAAAGCUCUGUCCUCAAGGAAGAUAAUGACGGUACUGGAGGAGGAAGCCCCGGCUAACUACGUGCCAGCAGCCGCGGUAAUACGUAGUGGGCUAGCGUUAUCCGGAAUUACUGGGCGUAAGGGGUGCGUAGGUGGUUUCUUAAGUCAGAGGUGAAAGGCUACGGCUCAACCGUAGUAAGCCUUUGACACUGGGGAACUUGAGGGCAGGAGAGGAGAGUGGAAUUCAUGGUGUAGCGGUGAAAUGCGUAGAUAUUAGGAGGAACACCAGUUGCGAAGGCGGCUCUCUGGACUGUAACUGACACUGAGGCACGAAAGCGUGGGGAGCAAACAGGAUUAGAUACCCUGGUAGUC